AGAACGAACGCUGGCGGCAUGCCUAACACAUGCAAGUCGAACGUGAUCCAGGCUUCGGCCUGGUGAAAGUGGCAGACGGGUGAGUAACGCGUGGGAACCUGCCCUGUGGUAGGGAAUAACCGUGGGAAACUGCGGCUAAUACCCUAUGAGUCCUUCGGGAGAAAGAUUUAUCGCCAUAGGAGGGGCCCGCGUCGGAUUAGGUAGUUGGUGGGGUAACGGCCUACCAAGCCUUCGAUCCGUAGCUGGUCUGAGAGGAUGAUCAGCCACACUGGGACUGAGAUACGGCCCAGACUCCUACGGGAGGCAGCAGUGGGGAAUAUUGGACAAUGGGGGCAACCCUGAUCCAGCAAUGCCGCGUGGAUGAUGAAGGCCUUCGGGUUGUAAAGUCCUUUCGGCGGGGAAGAUGAUGACGGUACCGCAGAAGAAGCCCCGGCUAACUCGCGCCAGCAGCCGC
Molecule: ribosomal RNA, 454 nt
Filed under: uncultured bacterium
Lineage: Bacteria
Description: SSU rRNA
Rfam family: Bacterial small subunit ribosomal RNA
Source: RNAcentral